Molecule: ribosomal RNA, 254 nt
Filed under: uncultured bacterium
Lineage: Bacteria
Description: partial 16S ribosomal RNA
Rfam family: Bacterial small subunit ribosomal RNA
Source: RNAcentral
UACGUAGGGUGCAAGCGUUGUCCGGAAUUAUUGGGCGUAAAGAGCUCGUAGGCGGUUUGGUAAGACGGAUGUGAAAUCUCCAGGCUCAACUUGGAGGGGUCAUUCGAUACUGCCAUGACUAGAGUUCGGUAGGGGAAUGUGGAAUACCUGGUGGAGCGGUGAAAUGCGCAGAUAUCAGGUGGAACACCCGUAGCGAAGGCGGCAUUCUGGGCCGAUACUGACGCUGAGGAGCGAAAGCGUGGGGAGCGAACAGG